CAGGCUGUGAUGAUUGGCGCAGGGGUACGGACCUCAGCUGAUCAUGGGAGCUGAGUGUAUGUGUUUGUCCUUUGUCCUGCGUGUGGCAGGAUGACAGCAAGCACUUACAUGAGACUGAUGCCUUAAUCUGAGCCUG
Small nucleolar RNA from Lagenorhynchus albirostris (white-beaked dolphin), 136 nucleotides. RefSeq annotates it as small nucleolar RNA SNORD94. The record is from RefSeq and is a predicted model, not a curated record. The transcript has a single exon. NCBI's taxonomy places the organism in Eukaryota, Metazoa, Chordata, Mammalia, Artiodactyla, Delphinidae.